CGCUGGCGGUGUGCUUAACACAUGCAAGUCGAACGAAGAUAUUUAAAAUGAGAGCUUCGGCAGGAUUUUUAUCUAUCUUAGUGGCGGACGGGUGAGUAACGUGUGGGCAACCUGCCCUGUACUGGGGAAUAAUCAUUGGAAACGAUGACUAAUACCGCAUGUGGUCCUCGGAAGGCAUCUUCUGAGGAAGAAAGGAUUUAUUCGGUACAGGAUGGGCCCGCAUCUGAUUAGCUAGUUGGUGAGAUAACAGCCCACCAAGGCGACGAUCAGUAGCCGACCUGAGAGGGUGAUCGGCCACAUUGGGACUGAGACACGGCCCAAACUCCUACGGGAGGCAGCAGUGGGGAAUAUUGCACAAUGGGCGAAAGCCUGAUGCAGCAACGCCGCGUGAAGGAUGAAGGGUUUCGGCUCGUAAACUUCUAUCCAUAGGGAAGAAAGAAAUGACGGUACCUAAAUAAGAAGCCCCGGCUAACUACGUGCCAGCAGCCGCGGUAAUACGUACGGGGCAAGCGUUAUUCGGAAUUACUGGGUGUAAAGGGAGCGUAGGCGGCAUGGUAAGCCAAAUUUGAAAGCCUUGGGCUCAACCCGAGGAUUGCCUUUGGAACUAUCAAGUUAGAGUACAGGAGCAGAAAAGCGGGAAUUCCUAGUGUAGCGUGGAAAUGGUUAGAUAUUAGGAAGAACACCAGUGGCGAAGGCCGUCUUUCUGGACUGAAACUGACGCUGAGGCUCGAAAGCGUGGGGAGCAAACAGGAUUAGAUACCCUGGUAGUCCACGCCGUAAACGAUGAGUGCUAGGUGUCGGGGAGGAAUCCUCGGUGCCGCAGCUAACGCAAUAAGCACUCCACCUGGGGAGUACGACCGCAAGGUUGAAACUCAAAGGAAUUGACGGGGGCCCGCACAAGCGGUGGAGCAUGUGGUUUAAUUCGAAGCAACGCGAAGAACCUUACCAAGGCUUGACAUCCCGAUGACCGUCCUAGAGAUAGGACUUCUCUUCGGAGCGUCGGUGACAGGUGGUGCAUGGUUGUCGUCAGCUCGUGUCGUGAGAUGUUGGGUUAAGUCCCGCAACGAGCGCAACCCUUAUCUUCAGUAGCCAUCAUUCAGUUGGGCACUCUGGAGAGACUGCCGUGGAUAACACGGAGGAAGGUGGGGAUGACGUCAAAUCAUCAUGCCCCUUAUGUCUUGGGCUACACACGUGCUACAAUGGCUGGUAACAAAGUGACGCAAGACGGUGACGUUAAGCAAAUCACAAAAACCCAGUCCCAGUUCGGAUUGUAGUCUGCAACUCGACUACAUGAAGCUGGAAUCGCUAGUAAUCGCGAAUCAGCAUGUCGCGGUGAAUACGUUCCCGGGCCUUGUACACACCGCCCGUCACACCAUGGGAGUUGGAAGCACCCGAAGUCGGUGACCUAACCGUAAGGAAGGAGCCGCCGAAGGUGAAGCCAG
Molecule: ribosomal RNA, 1442 nt
Filed under: uncultured organism
Description: 16S ribosomal RNA
Rfam family: Bacterial small subunit ribosomal RNA
Source: RNAcentral